RNAcentral lists this long non-coding RNA (751 nucleotides) under Homo sapiens (human). Its description in RNAcentral is "SRD5A3 antisense RNA 1". The record is from RNAcentral. Lineage: Eukaryota; Metazoa; Chordata; Mammalia; Primates; Hominidae.
ACGACUGGAAUCACACAUACACUGCCACAAGAGGUCUGCAGUGAAGGUCCCAAAGUCCCAGACAGAUCUUUCUGCUGAUGCAGCUGUUAAGAGUGUUUCAUAAACUGUGACAACACUAAGCAAAAUCAUAGAAGGAAACUCUAUGGACAAUUUCAGAUGGAGAAGAAGAAAGGACUGGAAGUUCAAUUUGGCCAUGACAAUUAGCUCCUAAGACUUGGAGUACUUUGUUACACAGCAGUAAAUAACUAAUACAGUGAUGUUUGAACAAAGACUUGAAGAAGCUGAGUGAGAAGGCCAUGCAGAUAUCUUGGAGAAGUGCAUUCCAGGCAGAGGAAAAGCCAGUGCAGAGACACUGAAGCAGGGCAUGACUGAUGUGUAUAAGGAGCAUCAUAUACAUGAUCAUCUACAGUCCACUGAGGAGAAUAGCAGACGAGAGGCCAGGUGCAGUGCAUGUAAUCCCAGCACUUUGGGAGACUGAGAUGGGAAGAUCGCUUGAGGCCAGGAGUGCAAGACCAGCCUGGGCAACACAGCAAGACCUUGAUUCUACUAAAAAAAAAAAAGGAUCCUUCAACUUCAACAAUAAUAACACAAGGGAAGUGAAGAAAAACACUUUCUAAGGAAAUCUCUCUCUGAGCUACCAUCCUGCUAGGGAGAGCCUGAAAGCAGAAUGCUGACUUGACUAGCUCUGGUCAAUGAAAGAAAUCACCAGUGGAAAGGCUACCAGGGGGCUUUCUCAAAAGAGAGGGACAGU